Molecule: ribosomal RNA, 253 nt
Filed under: uncultured bacterium
Lineage: Bacteria
Description: partial 16S ribosomal RNA
Rfam family: Bacterial small subunit ribosomal RNA
Source: RNAcentral
UACGGAGGGUGCAAGCGUUGUCCGGAUUUAUUGGGUUUAAAGGGUGCGUAGGCGGCCUCUUAAGUCAGUGGUGAAAGCCCGCGGCUCAACCGCGGAACUGCCAUUGAUACUGGGAGGCUUGAGUACAGACGAGGUAGGCGGAAUUGAAGAUGUAGCGGUGAAAUGCUUAGAUAUCUUCAAGAACACCGAUUGCGCAGGCAGCUUACUAGGCUGUAACUGACGCUGAGGCACGAAAGCGUGGGGAGCGAACAGG